This 253-nucleotide ribosomal RNA is filed under the name uncultured bacterium. RNAcentral describes it as "partial 16S ribosomal RNA". It matches the Rfam family "Bacterial small subunit ribosomal RNA", at positions 524 to 776 of the family's 1533-position model. The record is from RNAcentral.
UGCAGAGGGGGCAAGCGUUGUUCGGAAUUACUGGGCGUAAAGGGCGCGUAGGUGGCCUUCUAAGUCGAACGUGAAAUCCCCGGGCUCAACCCGGGAACUGCGUCCGAUACUGGAAGGCUUGAAUCCGGGAGAGGGAUGCGGAAUUCCAGGUGUAGCGGUGAAAUGCGCAGAGAUCGGGAGGAACACCCGUAGCGAAGGCGGCACUCUGGGCCGAUACUGACGCUGAGGAGCGAAAGCGUGGGGAGCAAACAGG